UGCCAACCGUCAGAGCCCAGA
This 21-nucleotide microRNA is filed under the name Homo sapiens (human). Its description in RNAcentral is "hsa-miR-5189-3p". Lineage: Eukaryota; Metazoa; Chordata; Mammalia; Primates; Hominidae. The record is from miRBase by way of RNAcentral.